GUCCACGCCGUAAACGAUGAUAACUAGCUGCCAGGGCUCUUAGAGCUUUGGUGGCGCAGCUAACGCAUUAAGUUAUCCGCCUGGGGAGUACGGUCGCAAGAUUAAACUCAAAGGAAUUGACGGGGCCCGCACAAGCGGUGGAGCAUGUGGUUUAAUUCGACGCAACGCGAAGAACCUUACCUGGGCUCGAACGGCUUUGGAUCAUCCUUGGAAACAGGGAUUUCCCGCAAGGGACCGGAGUCGAGGUGCUGCAUGGCUGUCGU
RNAcentral lists this ribosomal RNA (263 nucleotides) under uncultured bacterium. RNAcentral's name for it is "partial 16S ribosomal RNA". It matches the Rfam family "Bacterial small subunit ribosomal RNA", at positions 793 to 1055 of the family's 1533-position model. The record is from RNAcentral.